This 69-nucleotide transfer RNA is filed under the name Rattus norvegicus (Norway rat). It matches the Rfam family "tRNA". From Rfam's summary of the family: Transfer RNA (tRNA) molecules are approximately 80 nucleotides in length. Their secondary structure includes four short double-helical elements and three loops (D, anti-codon, and T loops). Lineage: Eukaryota; Metazoa; Chordata; Mammalia; Rodentia; Muridae. The record is from Rfam by way of RNAcentral.
GGGGAUUUAGCUCAGCGGUAGAGCGCUUGCCUAGCAAGCAUAAGGCCCUGGGUUCGGUCCCCAGCUCCG